UCUUCAAGGUUGGUUUACUGUUUAGAUGUCUUUAAUAAAGACUCCAUUUCCUUAUACAAGUCUAGAUAGACCACACGGUUCUGUAUCAACCAAUCAAACCUCAUAGCAAUAGCAACAGUUAGAUUUGAUCUGAAAACGCUUCAGUUUGAGCUAUUUCUGCUCACGAACAGAGAAGAUUGCAGUGCAACUGACCUUUAAAUGAUUAUUUCUCAGCACUUGCAACAAAGAGAAUCUCACCUAUCACCUUUACACUUUUGAUGCUACAAUAAGCCCUGUCCAUGUACCCCAUAAAGAGCUGCGGUAUCUUGACUAUUCCAGCCCCAAAUCUAUUCUACACUGUCAAUCACAUCACCUCCCAAGCCAGCUGCCAUUCUCCAGGUUGCCCUAUGGGAGGCUUAUGUGGAGAGGAACUGGAGGAAGCUCCAGUCAAUGGCUGCUGAGACACUGAGGCCACUAGUUCAACAACACAUGAGGAACUGAAUCUUGUCACCAACCAUCUGAGUGAGCCUCUAAUCUAUCCUUGAGGUGACUGCAGCCCUGGUGAUCACUCUGAUUGUUGUCUUGUUGAGGAUCUGAUCCAGAGGAUCCAGAUAGAGAAACAGAAUCACACAAGUGAAAUGAUCUGCCUGGGGUCUCUAAAGCUGAUUAGCAGCACAGCCAGAAUUAGAAUCGUCUACUUUGGAGGUCAUUUCACCAUGCCACCUGUCUGGUAGAGGAAUGUCUGCUGGGUGCUUAGAGUCAUCAACAAUCCACAAGUUUA
Molecule: long non-coding RNA, 760 nt
Organism: Canis lupus familiaris (dog)
Lineage: Eukaryota; Metazoa; Chordata; Mammalia; Carnivora; Canidae
Exons: 5
Source: RefSeq, a predicted model, not a curated record